This 100-nucleotide microRNA precursor is filed under the name Equus caballus (horse). Its description in RNAcentral is "mir-544 microRNA precursor family". It matches the Rfam family "mir-544 microRNA precursor family". The record is from Rfam by way of RNAcentral. Lineage: Eukaryota; Metazoa; Chordata; Mammalia; Perissodactyla; Equidae.
AGGCCUAGGCAUCUUGGUAAAAUGCAGAUUCUGAUUUAGUAGGUCUAGGGUAGGUGGGCCCAAGAGCCUGCAUUUCUAACAAGUGCCCAGGUGAUGCUGA